UUCGAUCAUAGCUCAGAUUGAACGCUGGCGGGAUGCUACAUGCAAGUCGAACGGCAGCACGGACUUCGGUCUGGUGGCGAGUGGCGAACGGGUGAGUAAUGUAUCGGAACGUGCCUAGUAGCGGGGAUAACUACGCGGCCAGCUGUGCAUACGCCCUUCAGGGAAAAGCAGGGGGACCUUCGGGCCUCGCACUGGUGAAGCGGCCGAUAUCGGAUUGGCUAGUUGGUGGGGGUAACGGCUCACCAAGGCGACGAUCCGUAGCUGGUUUGAGAGGACGACCAGCCACACUGGGACUGAGACACGGCCCAGACUCCUACCAGAGGAGGGCAGCAGUGGGGAAUUACCUGGACAAUGGGGAAACCCCUGAUCCAGCCAUCCCGCGUGUGCGAUAGAGGCCUUCGGGUUGUAAAGCACUUUUGGCAGAAAGAAACGGCACGGGAUAAUACCCCGUGCAACUGACGGUACCUGCAGAAUAAGCACCGGCUAACUACACGUGCCAGCAGCCGCGGUAAUACGUAGGGUGCAAGCGUUAAUCGGAAUUACUGGGCGUAAAGCGAUAGCUGCGCAGGCAGUUCGGAAAGAAAGAUGUGAAAUCCCAGAGCUUAACUUUGGAACUGCAUUUUUAACUACCGAGCUGAUGUCAGAGGAGGUGAAUUCGCAUGCUAACGAUGAAGUAUGAAUAUGCGGAGGAACACCGAUGGCGAAGGCAGCCUCCUGGGAUAACACUGACGCUCGUGACGUGGGGAGCAAACAGGAUUAGAUACCCUGGUAGUCCCACGCCCUAAACGAUAUCGCCUAAGUACUGAUUCAGGACGGCCACCAGGGGCCUUGGUAGCGCAGCUUGCGCGUAAAGUUGACCGCUAAGGAAGUACGGUCGCAAGAUUAAGCUCAGGAAUUGACGGGGACCCGCACAAGCGGUGGAUGAUGUGGAUUGGUCGAAGUGCAGCGCGAAAAACCUUACUACCCCGCUUAAACAUGGAAUCCGAAGUUUGGGAGUGCUCGCAAGAGAACCGGAACACAGGUGCUGCGCCGGCUGUCGUCAGCUCGUGUCGUGAGAUGUUGGGUUAAGUCCUGUGAGCGCAACCGCUCAGCUCAGCUAGUUGCUACGAAAGGGCAUAAUGAGACUGCCGGUGAUGAAGCCGGGAGAAGGUGGGGAUGACGUCAAGUCCUCCGUAAACCUCUCCGUCCCAGGGCUUCACACGUCAUACAAUGGUCGGGACAGAGGGUCGACAACCCGCGAGGGGCCAAUCCCGAAACCCGAUCGCCGUCCGGAUCGCAGUCUGCAACUCGACUGCGUGAAGUGGAAUCGCUAAUAAAUCGCGGAUCGCUUGUCUUUCGCGGUGAAUACGUUCCCAGGUCUUGUACACACCGCCCGUCACACCAUGGGAGUGGGUUUUGCAGAAGUAGUUAGCCUAACCGUAAGGAGGGCGAUUACCACGGUAGGAUUCAUGACUGGGGUGAAGUCGUAACAAGGUAG
This 1477-nucleotide ribosomal RNA is filed under the name uncultured Bordetella sp. Its description in RNAcentral is "partial 16S-23S ribosomal RNA intergenic spacer". It matches the Rfam family "Bacterial small subunit ribosomal RNA". Lineage: Bacteria; Pseudomonadati; Pseudomonadota; Betaproteobacteria; Burkholderiales; Alcaligenaceae. The record is from RNAcentral.